AGAGUUUGAUCCUGGCUCAGGACGAACGCUGGCGGCAUGCCUAAUACAUGCAAGUCGAGCGGACUUGAAGAGAAGCUUGCUUCUCUGAUGGUUAGCGGCGGACGGGUGAGUAACACGUAGGCAACCUGCCCUCAAGCUUGGGACAACUACCGGAAACGGUAGCUAAUACCGAAUAGUUGUUUUCUUCUCCUGAAGAGAACUGGAAAGACGGAGCAAUCUGUCACUUGGGGAUGGGCCUGCGGCGCAUUAGCUAGUUGGUGGGGUAACGGCUCACCAAGGCGACGAUGCGUAGCCGACCUGAGAGGGUGAUCGGCCACACUGGGACUGAGACACGGCCCAGACUCCUACGGGAGGCAGCAGUAGGGAAUCUUCCGCAAUGGGCGAAAGCCUGACGGAGCAAUGCCGCGUGAGUGAUGAAGGUUUUCGGAUCGUAAAGCUCUGUUGCCAGGGAAGAACGCUUGGGAGAGUAACUGCUCUCAAGGGACG
RNAcentral lists this ribosomal RNA (486 nucleotides) under Paenibacillus pabuli. Its description in RNAcentral is "bacterial SSU rRNA". It matches the Rfam family "Bacterial small subunit ribosomal RNA", at positions 8 to 474 of the family's 1533-position model. Lineage: Bacteria; Bacillati; Bacillota; Bacilli; Caryophanales; Paenibacillaceae. The record is from RNAcentral.